UAGUGGCGAACGGGUGAGUAACACGUGGGCAAUCUGCCCUGCACUCUGGGACAAGCCCUGGAAACGGGGUCUAAUACCGGAUACUGAUCGCCUUGGGCAUCCUUGGUGAUCGAAAGCUCCGGCGGUGCAGGAUGAGCCCGCGGCCUAUCAGCUUGUUGGUGAGGUAAUGGCUCACCAAGGCGACGACGGGUAGCCGGCCUGAGAGGGCGACCGGCCACACUGGGACUGAGACACGGCCCAGACUCCUACGGGAGGCAGCAGUGGGGAAUAUUGCACAAUGGGCGAAAGCCUGAUGCAGCGACGCCGCGUGAGGGAUGACGGCCUUCGGGUUGUAAACCUCUUUCAGCAGGGAAGAAGCGAAAGUGACGGUACCUGCAGAAGAAGCGCCGGCUAACUACGUGCCAGCAGCCGCGGUAAUACGUAGGGCGCGAGCGUUGUCCGGAAUUAUUGGGCGUAAAGAGCUCGUAGGCGGCUUGUCGCGUCGGUUGUGAAAGCCCGGGGCUUAACCCCGGGUCUGCAGUCGAUACGGGCAGGCUAGAGUUCGGUAGGGGAGAUCGGAAUUCCUGGUGUAGCGGUGAAAUGCGCAGAUAUCAGGAGGAACACCGGUGGCGAAGGCGGAUCUCUGGGCCGAUACUGACGCUGAGGAGCGAAAGCGUGGGGAGCGAACA
This 668-nucleotide ribosomal RNA is filed under the name Actinomycetes bacterium. Its description in RNAcentral is "bacterial SSU rRNA". It matches the Rfam family "Bacterial small subunit ribosomal RNA", at positions 93 to 774 of the family's 1533-position model. The record is from RNAcentral. Lineage: Bacteria; Bacillati; Actinomycetota; Actinomycetes.